RNAcentral lists this ribosomal RNA (468 nucleotides) under uncultured bacterium. Its description in RNAcentral is "partial 16S ribosomal RNA". It matches the Rfam family "Bacterial small subunit ribosomal RNA", at positions 28 to 507 of the family's 1533-position model. The record is from RNAcentral.
GACGAACGCUGGCGGCGUGCUUAACACAUGCAAGUCGAACGGAAAGGCCCUGCUUUUGUGGGGUGCUCGAGUGGCGAACGGGUGAGUAACACGUGAGUAACCUGCCCUUGACUUUGGGAUAACUUCAGGAAACUGGGGCUAAUACCGGCUAGGAGCUCCUGCUGCAUGGUGGGGGUUGGAAAGUUUCGGCGGUUGGGGAUGGACUCGCGGCUUAUCAGCUUGUUGGUGGGGUAGUGGCUUACCAAGGCUUUGACGGGUAGCCGGCCUGCGCGGGUGACCGGCCACAUUGGGACUGAGAGACGGCCCAGACGCCUACGGGAGGCAGCAGUGGGGAAUAUUGCACAAUGGGCGGAAGCCUGAUGCAGCAACGCCGCGUGCGGGAUGACGGCCUUCGGGUUGUAAACCGCUUUCGCCUGUGACGAAGCGUGAGUGACGGUAAUGGGUAAAGAAGCACCGGCUAACUACGUG